This 387-nucleotide ribosomal RNA is filed under the name uncultured bacterium. Its description in RNAcentral is "bacterial SSU rRNA". It matches the Rfam family "Bacterial small subunit ribosomal RNA", at positions 29 to 415 of the family's 1533-position model. The record is from RNAcentral.
AUUGAACGCUGGCGGCAUGCCUUACACAUGCAAGUCGAACGGCAGCACGGGAGCAAUCCUGGUGGCGAGUGGCGAACGGGUGAGUAAUAUAUCGGAACGUGCCCAGUAGUGGGGGGAUAGCCCGGCGAAAGCCGGAUUAAUACCGCAUGAGACCUGAGGGUGAAAGCGGGGGAUCGCAAGACCUCGCGCUAUUGGAGCGGCCGAUAUCAGAUUAGCUAGUUGGUGGGGUAAAGGCCUACCAAGGCAACGAUCUGUAGUUGGUCUGAGAGGACGACCAGCCACACUGGGACUGAGACACGGCCCAGACUCCUACGGGAGGCAGCAGUGGGGAAGUUUUGGACAAUGGGCGCAAGCCUGAUCCAGCAAUGCCGCGUGCAGGAAGAAGGC